UGAAGGCAGACAAUCUAUGCAGUUUCAAUGGCAUCUGUGGCAUCAGAGCCAGAGACUCUGGAGACAUUUGAGUCAGGAAGUGACAGGGGGUGACUGAACACAUGUAUUAUUAUCAUGGACAAUCCAUUUCACCUACUCCAUUCUUCACUGUGGAGGCAGCAGGGCUGAUUCUCUAUCAGGCUUAUUUGUUAUUCUACAUUCCCAUUGUUUGUGUCUAUGAUUUAUGGGAUAUGUGUAAUAUGCUCUUUUGCACAAUCUGAGUCUUAUUUUAAGUUCAUUUUAAUUUUCUUUAUUGUUAUCGCUUAUUGUUAUACACAAUUAAGACAGAAAAUCAACAACAACCUUGCAGAAAAUAAGAACUUCAUGAUGGGUACUUUUACUUCAACAACUUUAACAAUACUUUAACAAUGUUCUUUUUAUUCUAAAUUAUAGUGUUUUUUUUAUUUUUUUAUUUUUAUCUCGGACCCACAUUCUUGCAUGGAUUAAGAGGGUUCAAUAUCUGACCUGAACAACCUGCACCCAUGGAUUACAAAUUUGGGGGUUCUUUUGUCGACCAAAAUCGGUUCUGUUCCGUUUAGGCCCACUAGAAUGCGCAUGCUCUUAUUUUGAAGGAACACUUUCUUGUCUACUGGUUGCAUUUUGAGACGCUUUGAAAUUAACUCCACAGCUGGAGUGGUGUGGUAGAAUAGACUUUACAAGCGCCCCUUAAACUAAAAUGUAGAUAGGAGAAGGGUUUCGUGUCACUUUCAAGUGUCCAUCAGUAACUCAGUUUGUUUGUAUGUACUAAGAUCAUAAUAUCUUCAUUUUAAAAUUAAUUUAAUGAACAAACUGCAGACCUAAAACUGACUACUACCACUUAUAUUAGAAGAAAUGAUUAUUAUAAUAAAGAUAGUAUUUACAUGUUCUGCUUAACAUAGCCUAUAUAGCCUUUAUACACAGUUUCUGUGUAAGGUGUUUUUUAUGUUAGCACCUGCCAUGCCACACCAUGGUAUAAAUUAUGGGGGAGGGGAUGCCGCUACAUGUUGCUAUGCCCCUUUGUUUUCUGCUUGAUGUUAAUUGGAGUAAAAGUAUAAUCCCUCAGCCUCAGCCAAUGUGCUUUCAGGUCGCGAGGGCAACAUCGAACAUCUCCUGGGUGGACUUGAGGACGGCACGAGAGGGAUUAAGGCGAUGAUUGUCGAGAAAACUGUUGAAACUCCUUAAGUUCGCCUUGUUUGACUAAAUGCGGGUAGGUAACUUUAAACGGUACAUUUUGCUGACCAAAAAGUUAAAAAAUAAAAUAAAAUUAGAAAAAAUUUACUGGUAAAAGCGUUAGGCUAAAGCUACGGGUUAAAUUAGCAAAGUCAUCAUCAAAGUUUGCUAGCUUGUCCAGUUACAUAAACGGCUAGUUAAGUUUGCUAAGUUGGCUAGCUGAAAAGUUGCCUUUUCCCGAAAAAGUAGUUUGCUAAUGUAUUUUCCAUAUCUGUCAAAUGUCUUAAUUUACUAUGCAAAUCUUUAUAAAAAUGUUUCGUUCUUUGUACAUUGCCAGAGCUGUAACCGAGUACUGAAGAACCAAAGGGGAGUUCAGAAUGGCGUUUGAUGGACGUCAGAGCGCAUUUGCAAAUUCACUCUUCCACAGCUAUCAACGUCAGGUACGCAGGAAUAAACAGUAAUUUAGGCUAAGGUACUUUGCAUAUUUGAAAUAUCUCCAUUUCUUAAGAGUUUAUGAUAGGCCAACUCACUGAUGAUCAUUUUUCCCCUCCAUAGUUAACCAUAUUGGUUAACUUGGGUUAUGGGACAAAGGAAAAAAUGCAGUUCAUCCCAAAGGUUUUUUUUUUUUUUUUUUUUAGUUCAGAUUAGAACCACACUAAGGAAUGAAACAAUGUUUUAAUUAUGAUCUCUAAAGUUGUGCUCGCAAUUCUUGGAAGUUUUUCUUUCUUUCUUUUUUAAGUUCCUUGUAUCGCAUAGAGAUGUUUUAAAAUUGUCAAAUAAAUAGGUCUACCCUGGGGUUUCUUCCCAGUUGGAUGUACUUGUAAACCUUCUGUUACACAUCCCAACCACCUUAACUGGGUCCUUUUGACAUGCAGGAGCAGGGGAUCUACUCCAGGAAUUCCUUUGGACGUCUGAGCUUCUUAACUUGUCUUUUAAGUCUGAGCCCAGCCACCAUAUGGAAGAAACUAAUUUCUUCUGUUUGUAUUCAUGACCUCACUUUUUUGGUCAAUAUCCAGAUUACCUGAUCCUAGGUGAAGGUUGGGAUAUUGAUAGAUUGGUAAAUCAAAAGCUCUUUGUUCAUUAGGCAGUCCAGUACUGCUAAUGCCACACUGCUGGUCCAACUUGCACUCUGUCUUCCCAUCACUUGUGGAUAAGAUCCCGAGAUACUUGCUUCUUGAACCUUGCUUAAGGCAGUCUCUCUCCCCCAACACAGAGGGAGCAUACCACCGUUUUCCAGCAGAGAACCAUGGCCUCAGAUUUGGAGGUGGUGAUUCUCAUUGCAGCCAUUUCAUGCUUGGCUGCAAACUGCUCCAGUGUACGCGGGAGGUCACGCUUUGACCUUGCAAAAAUCCUCUGUGGUAUAGUAUGAGAUUCCCAAAGUGAGUGACACCCCCGCCCCGCCGCCCCCGCCUGGCUAUGCUUUGAGAUCCUGUUGAUGAAACUCAAGAACAGGAUUGGAAACGAGAGGCGACCCUCUCACUCCAACACCCACUGAAAAAGCUGCUAGGCUUUUGCCAAUAUAUUUUAGUUCAAAAACUGGCAAAUAAAUUAACAUUAUCAUUUCAAAUGUAAUUAUUUGAAAUAAUUUCAAUUCCGUAUUUUUACAGAGUUAAAAUUGUCUGUGAAAGUUUU
This is a long non-coding RNA of Astatotilapia calliptera (eastern happy), 2820 nucleotides long. The record is from Ensembl. NCBI's taxonomy places the organism in Eukaryota, Metazoa, Chordata, Actinopteri, Cichliformes, Cichlidae.